RNAcentral lists this ribosomal RNA (253 nucleotides) under uncultured bacterium. RNAcentral's name for it is "partial 16S ribosomal RNA". It matches the Rfam family "Bacterial small subunit ribosomal RNA", at positions 524 to 776 of the family's 1533-position model. The record is from RNAcentral.
UACGGAGGGUGCAAGCGUUAUCCGGAUUCACUGGGUUUAGAGGGUGCGUAGGUGGGCAGGUAAGUCAGUGGUGAAAUCUCCGGGCUUAACUCGGAAACUGCCAUUGAUACUAUCUGUCUUGAAUACCGUGGAGGUCAGCGGAAUAUGUCAUGUAGCGGUGAAAUGCUUAGAUAUGACAUAGAACACCAAUUGCGAAGGCAGCUGGCUACACGAAUAUUGACACUGAUGCACGAAAGCGUGGGGAUCAAACAGG